AGCACUCACAGGCACUGAACCCGCUGGUGUGAGGAUCAUGGGGACUGCCUAUUGAGAAGUUUCUUUCCAACGGCUUCUCAUAAUACUUCCCUGAUGAGGAUAAGUGUGACAUCUGCCUGGAACAGGUGGGAAAACAGAAGCAGGUGGCUAACAGCCACAUCUACUCAUCGUAUUCAGGAGCUUAAAACGAUUGCUUUUAACAAUAAAGUAAUUCACAGUAGAGAAGAAAAAAGUGUUGUUCCUGUAAUAAGUAGGACAAUCAAAUACAGCACAUGCAUUUGUUUUAUGACCCUCUAGACAAACUCCCAAGUGAACUCUGGUGCAAGAAGAGUCAAGUCUUAACAUCUAUUGAGAAAGUAUAAACACUAUGAUGCCAUAAUUCUACACGCUUGGGCCCUAGCACAUGGGCUCUGCAGGUUUGCUUUGGGCCUGGAAUUAUGCCACGGAGGCUCCAGUGCUCACCACUCUCUGAUGGGAAGCUGAGAAGAAGAAGGGACACCCAGGAAGAAUGUUGUUCCUUCCAUCAAUCUUCUGACACUUACUUGCCUCUGAAAUGCGGCCCUCUCUUAAGAGAGUGUGUGUGUGUCUGUGUGUGUCUGUGUGUGUCUGUGUGUGUAUAAACAUUAGCAGAGACCCACAGGCAAUGGAUAAGGAUAGAAUUACCCACUGGCAAUGAGUAAUGCUCAGAACCAACUGCCAAACGAAUUCUCACUAAUCUCUUUCUUUUUUACCCAUUUCAUGACACUUUCUUGCUGCUAUCAUUUUCUGAUUAUUGUGAAACUGAGGAUUUUCCAAUGUGUUUCUCAGCCAUUUGUUAUUUAUUCUUCUGUGUUUGCCUAUGGAUAUCCUUUGUACAUGUUUUCAUUGUGCUGAUUGCCUUUCUCUUACAAUAUUUAGACAUUUAUAUUUUAUAUAUUUAAUAUAUGCACUGCAAAUACUUUUCUUCACAAAGUGUGUUGCCUAUUUUUAACAGAUUUAUGGAGGUAUAAUUUAUAUACCACAUUAAUUCUCUGUUGGUAAAAGUACAAUUCAGUGAUUUCUAGUAAGUUUUCAGAGUUGUGCAGCCAUGACCACAAUACAGUUUUAGGACACUUCCAUCACUGUGGGAAGAAUUCUUAUGACUAUUUUCAGUCCAUACCAUCCCCAUUCCCAGUCCCAGGCCUUUUUUGGACAUUUCCCAUGCAACGCAAUCAUACAUGUAGUGCUUUACAUUUAACUUCUUAGUAUAAUGUUCUAGCAUUCAUCUACAUGUUGUAUGUAGCAUGUAUCAAUAUUUCACUCCUUUUUUUGUUAACAAAUAAUAUUCCAAUGUAUAGCUAGCCAAAAUUUUUAUCUAUUCACCAACUAAUAAAUAUUUGGAUCAUUUCCAAUUUUUGCCUAUUGUGAUUAAUACUACUAUAAAUAUUUGCACGUCUUUUUAUUUCUCUUAGAUUCCUACUUACUAAUAGAAUUAUUGAUGCAUGUGGAAAAUUUAUGUGCAACUUCUUGUGAAACUCUUUUCUAAAGUGGCUGUACCAUUUUGUAUUCCAACCAGCAAUGUAUAAAGUUUCUAGUUGCUCCAUGUUCUUGUCAACACUUGUUAUUGUCAGCCUCUUAUGACAGCCAUCUAGUUGUGGUUUUAAAAUGCAUUUCUCCAAUGCCUAAUAAUGCUGAACAUCUUUUCAUGUGUUUAUUGGCCAUCGUAAGAUGUCUCUUCAAAUAUUUUGCUCAUUUUUAUUCAGUUGUAUUCAAAAUGAGUUGUAAGAAUUCUUUAUAUAUAAUGGAUACAAAUCUAUUAUAAAACAUAUGAUUUGUCAGAAAGAUAAUCCAAGGGCACCUGGGUGGCUCAGUCAGUUAAGUGUCUGCCUUCAGCUCAGAUCAUAAUGCCAAAGACUUGGGUUUGAGCCCUGUAUUGGGCUUCCUGCUCAGUGGGGACCCUGUUCCUCCCUCUCCUUCUGCCCUCUGGCUCCUGCUCUCUCUCUCUCACUCUUUCUCUAUCUCAAAUAAAUAAAUAAA
This is a long non-coding RNA of Nyctereutes procyonoides (raccoon dog), 1995 nucleotides long. RefSeq lists it as uncharacterized. The transcript is spliced from 3 exons. The record is from RefSeq and is a predicted model, not a curated record. NCBI's taxonomy places the organism in Eukaryota, Metazoa, Chordata, Mammalia, Carnivora, Canidae.